RNAcentral lists this long non-coding RNA (200 nucleotides) under Elaeis guineensis (African oil palm). RNAcentral describes it as "long non-coding RNA (EGUI_LNC050639)". Lineage: Eukaryota; Viridiplantae; Streptophyta; Magnoliopsida; Arecales; Arecaceae. The record is from RNAcentral.
CUAGCUGAUGAGCAAAAGGUGUUUGUCAGCCAUAAGGCAAUCUUUUUGAAAAAAGAGUUCCUUGGUGAAGGGACUAUUGCCUCAAAAGUCGAACUUGAGAAAGUUCGACAGGUGAAAAAAUUGACACAAGUUGCUGAACCUGAACUGGAUUUGGUUAGAUCAGAUCCAGAGCCCAUUGUUCCUACACCCUUAAGGCGGUC